UGCCGCUCCACCUUUCUCUACAAACCCUAGAUCCUCCACCGCUCCUCCACCUUUCAUCCAUGGAAACCGGUCGUCGCCAUCACCGUCUUCUCCCCUUCUCCACUCCAACAGUCGCUUAGUGAAAUGUGAAUACAGUUGAAGAUGAAGACUGAUGAACAGGUGAAAGAGAGAACACUGCGGAUUGGUUCAAGAACCUUCAAAUUCAGCCUUAGUGGUUACAGAAAAGCAUAGUAACUGAUGUGGAAAAGCAUCUAUGGAGGUCAAACCUGGUCAAAUGGUAUAUGAACCUAUUCUUGAAGAAGGUGUUUUUAGCUUCCGACGAUAUCUCAGCAGAUUCGACACCAGAUCCGACACCAGAUCGAUUUCUAUGGCUUCUUUCCCGGUGGCUUCAAGAUCCGACACCAGAUCUACUGGUUUGACUAUAGGAUCUGCCGUUGAGUUGUUCGUGUUAGGGUGCACCGGAAUAACCAGAUGUGUAUCAUCUGGAAUGAACAAGCUGGAUAACCAGUCGAUCUCUACAAAAUUUCAGUAAGGUAUUGUUCGAGCCCUAGCUUUUUUAUUGAGUGAACUCUGUUUAUGAAGUUGUGAUUGACUGAUUUCAUGUUGUUUCAAUAUCGGAUGUGUUGUUGUAGCUGAUGAAAGGAUAACUAGAUGAAUAAUAACUGUUUUGUUUGGUUAAUUUGAUUGUUUUGAAUUGGAUGUGUUGCUAUAGUUGAUAAAAGAAGAAUUAAGUGAAUAGUAACUGUUUUGUUAGGGUUUACGUUGUUUACUUUUGUAGUUGUCAAUUUGUUUGCCAAUAUUAUCAUUAUGAGACCAUUUUCUCCAAGUAGCAUAAAUUAGUAUUAUAUAUGCAUGAAAUGUAAUUUGUUUCUUAGCUUAAGAUAAAAAUAGACUUAAGUUUUAUUUUACUUCCAUUCAGUUGCUUGAAGUAUUCUAAACAUUAAACCAAUAUUAAGUAUAUUUCUUUUCCUGUGAAUGUUUAAUAUUUUCCUAACUUGAUUUGGUGAAUGUAAUGUUUUUCAAUUUCUAUUCAGUUGUUGUAUACAUAUACUGACUUUGGCAUUGUUAUUUUUUACUUUAAACAAAAUGUUGAAAAUAGUUUUUUAACCAUUGAAGUAUCUCAUGAAUCUUUUCGAACCUGCAACUCUGUUUCUAAUUAAUUUUUCCGGGAUGUGCAUAACUUGAGAAAAUCGCGGGGUCCACCAAGGAGACGAUGAAACUACGCUCACUGACUCUAUAUCGCGAGGACUCCGAAGCAAACGGUGUGUCUAGCUGAUAUUUAACGGUGUCGUAAAGUGGGAUAGCACGAAAAUAAAAAAAGGUAUUCGUUGCAUCCAACAUUUGCACACGGAAGUACUCUGGUCUUAUACGAGGUCCUGACCGGAAAGCGUUACAUAUGUGACAUUAUUACUGAUUCUGUGGUUCUUGGUUUCUUCAUUGAAGCCGAAAAGAUACUCUCGGUGCUCGGAACUGAUGAUGCAGUUGAUGACUUUUUGUGGUAGGAAAAGCUUAAUCAUACUCUCGAAACUCUUGGUCCCGCAGUCCCGCAAAUCUUUGAGUAAAUGGCGAUGCAUGACCUACGGAAUCUUGUGGCAGAAAGAUCAGCUAUGAACACAUAUAUAAGCGGAGAGAGUUUUGAUUUGCCUCAGAUAUGAUCGGUCUGUUAUUAGAAGGAUUCAUUAAAACGCAGGGUACGUUAGAACUUAUUACUACACCAGCUGCACUAUUCCCAUCAUAUGGCUACCGCAGUUUCCGAGUGUCAGAAAUAGUAGCAGCCGGAAGCUUUUGUCACCAUGCAACCUCGUACGUAGUUGAGACAAGGUCAUGGGUGAUGAUGUUUGAGAUUAGUGGAUUUGAAGGAACAAGAACCCUUCAGAGGAGGGCGUCUUCGUUAAUAUCACAUGGCGGGGCGGGGGAUAACCUGUCCUCGGCCAGGGAACAUAGCGGUCUAGUGAGUUGGCAACAGGGCUCUUUUAAGAGAGAGUUUCUCUCAUCUCCAUACCGAUGUUCAAGGAAUUGAAACGAAGACGUUAUCAAUUAUGGUUUUUCAAUUUGUUUUUUGCAAGAAAUAUUAAAAAUGUUCUGAUUCCUUGAAUGCAGAGUUGCACUUAGGGUUUUUCAAUGCUUUUGUCUUGCAGAUUUAGAUUUCAUCUCAUCAGAUGUGGGUUCCUCUGAUGUUAUCCCAUUUUUUUGUGGGAGAAAGAGGGAGCUGGAGAGAAGAAUGGGCAGAGGAGUGAGAGAAUGGAAGAUGGGAGCCGGCCAAGAUGCCGAUGGUGGAUGGCAUUAGUGUCGGAAGAUGGAUGGGUCGGUAACCAUCGUAAACCCCGACAGCGGCGCUAGAGGUUCGCGAUAACCACAGACUUCCGGCGAACACAAUGGUGAACACAGAGACGCUGACUUUUUAGAACCUUCGGCGGCUGCAGGUAAGUCUCGCGGUGACUACACCAACUAAUGAAGGUACCGGAUCUUGUGGAUCUGGUGGUGACGGCGUCUCGGGUUCCGCAGUAGGCGGCAGAGACAGCUGCUAUGUGGUUGUACUGACCUUACUAGAAAAGAACCGUCAUGGUACUUGUGACGGUGGCAUAUGAACGGGGAUUCAGGGAAUUUGUUGGCAAAUUGCAGGGAAUUUGUUGGCAAAUUGCAGGGAAUUUGUUGGCAAAUUGCAGGGAAUUUGUUUGCAGUUUGCAAACUCAUAAAUCUUCCCUCUAAGCCUCUCUGUCCAGGUCAAGCUGGUGAUCAGUCCAUACGUUUAUAUUUUGAUUAGUGCAUAGAAGGGAUUGUGUUUUGUUUUUUUUUUUCAACUCUAUGCAUAUAUUCGAUACCAAAUUUGAUUGUUACAACUCAUUUCUUUUCUUUUUUAUAUAGACUUGGUAUAUAUAUAUAUUUUUUUAAUAUUUGUGCUUUUUUUAGUAACUUAUGUGCUUACAACACCAGGCAACUUCAGGUACUAAAGGUAGUUCAAGUCAUCGAUUGGCAAGGACGAGUAGUUGCCUUGAAUGUUGGCAGCAAGUCAUGUGUUUCAGCAUUUUUCUUACCUUUAGAGCGACUAAAUAUAAUAGAUAUGUUAUCCAUAUAUCCCGCUUAGCAUCGUCAAACUGUCUUUUGUCUUCUGUAAUGUAUUGAAGACGCAACAUGUCAAGUUUACUAAAAAUCAUUUUUGUUGACCUUACAUGUGGCUGUGCUUUGAAUUUCUUGCGGAAGGGAGAUCUUUUCAAGAUAAAUGGGAGGCUCCUACAAUCCUCCACGUCUAGCUGAGCCAGUGCCUGAACCGGCUAAAGCGGAGGGGUGCGCUUCUGAACCACCAACAGAAAACAGUCAGGUUAAAACAACAUAACUGAUUACCUGCUCACACCUGGAGGAUUUUCAUGCCUUUAUAUGGCUCAACCUUUAAAAAAAUCUCAUGAGGCGCCUUCUUUUCAUCCAUAAGUGGUUUGCCGGCCUGCGUUUCUUCCACGCAACAACACAUGCUUGACAUAAUUUUUUGUUUCUGUUUUUUCCUUUUUUUUUUCUUUUUUUCAUUGGGCUUAAAUUCUAUUUGGUGCUUGACAAAUUUAGUUUUAUACAUUGUUUAUAUAAUUUUGAGAUUCUAUUAAACUUGUAAUGGUUAUAGAAA
Helianthus annuus (common sunflower) is the source of this 3613-nucleotide long non-coding RNA. RefSeq lists it as uncharacterized. The transcript is spliced from 11 exons. The record is from RefSeq and is a predicted model, not a curated record. Lineage: Eukaryota; Viridiplantae; Streptophyta; Magnoliopsida; Asterales; Asteraceae.